UUGACGCUGAGACUGGUACUUGUACUAGUUGGAUGAGUAGCGAACGGGUGAGUAACGCGUGGGUAACCUACCUCUUAGCGGGGGACAACUAUUGGAAACGAUAGCUAAUACCGCAUAACAAUAUUUAACACAUGUUAAGUAUUUGAAAGCACCAAUUGGUGCACUAAGAGAUGGACCCGCGUUGUAUUAGCUAGUUGGUAGUGUAAUGGACUACCAAGGCGAUGAUACAUAGCCGACCUGAGAGGGUGAUCGGCCACAUUGGGACUGAGACACGGCCCAAACUCCUACGGGAGGCAGCAGUAGGGAAUCUUCGGCAAUGGACGAAAGUCUGACCGAGCAACGCCGCGUGAGUGAAGAAGGUUUUCGGAUCGUAAAACUCUGUUGUUAGAGAAGANCGUCAGUGAGAGUGGAAAGUUCACUGAGUGACGGUAUCUAACCAGAAAGGGACGGCUAACUACGUGCCAGCAGCCGCGGUAAUACGUAGGUCCCGAGCGUUGUCCGGAUUANUUGGGCGUAAAGCGAGCGCAGGUGGUUUAAUAAGUCUGAUGUAAAGGCAGUGGCUCANCCNUUGUGUGCAUUGGAAACUGUUAGACUUGAGUGCAGUANAGGAGAGUGGAAUUCCAUGUGUAGCGGUGAAUGCCNUANA
This 646-nucleotide ribosomal RNA is filed under the name Pseudolactococcus plantarum. RNAcentral's name for it is "bacterial SSU rRNA". It matches the Rfam family "Bacterial small subunit ribosomal RNA", at positions 63 to 694 of the family's 1533-position model. The record is from RNAcentral. Lineage: Bacteria; Bacillati; Bacillota; Bacilli; Lactobacillales; Streptococcaceae.